UUUUUUUUUUUUUUUUUGGGUACUUUUGGAUACUUAUGUAACAGGAACAGGAUGGAUUUUUUAUUGCAGUGGUUUUGUUAUCAUGCAUUGGAAGCAACACAGAGUGGACCAGAAGAAGGGAUUACAAAUUUCCAAAGCCUGAUUGAAUCUAGUACCUUACUUGCAGGGACUACAUAUUUCCAAAGCCAAUUUUCCUAUUUGGAUGAGAAUUCACCUUUGGUGGCCCCUGAAAAUGUCUUUACAUUAAUAAAGGGAUGCAUGAUUUGGUUAUUAAUUCAUCCCAAAAGCUGUAGCUAAGCUGUAGUUCCAACAAAACUACAAUUAAUUGACAGCUUUAAUCAGAUGCAGCUACAGUUAAAGCUUUAAACAACUUCUCAAAGGCAAAUUAGUGAGUCUGUUUAUUCUUUUAACCAAUUUUUUUUCACUUUCAAGUAAUACUUGGCAGUUUGGAACUAACUAAUCAUGCUUAAUGUCUUAUGGCGUGGCAUACAGAAAAAUAGCCUUGUUUGGAUUGCAGAUUUCCAAAGAAAAAUUCUACGUUUUUCAUAACCAUAUUUCUUAAUCACCUUUUUAUCCCACAUAUAUUAAAUUAUUGCAGUAUAUUUUUUUACAAAAACUCUGGCAAUCCAGAUGAAAGUACUACUAGCUACUCUACCAAUCUUGACUCAAGAAGAGUUUCAAAUUUUCUUUUUCUUUUUUUAUGAUCAGAUUUGUAUAUAUAUUUCAGAGUAGAAAAUUAAAAUGAUAUAAAAAGAUUUCAGAAGAAAACGUAAUUAAAAAAUGAAAAAACAAAAGGGAUGAUCCAAAUUCCAAAAAAAGAAGAAAAAUGAAAAGAUGAGAUAACAAAGAACAGAACAAUUGGAAGAAUCCAGGAGAAAGCAUAUGAUCUCAUGUCAGUGCAGAGUGGAAUGGUGCAAGAUGUUAUUUCCUUCAUUGCUUAAAUAAAUAAUUAAAUAGUACAAACGUAACUUUUCGGAGGCUGCAAAUAUAAGCAACCAAACAUCAGCAAAAUGUAAAAGUCUUUGGAUUAAUUUUUGUGUUUAGUAAUCAUCAAAACCUUGAAAACAACUUCACACGAAAAGGAUUGAUCCUUAUUAAAUUAGUUAAUUCGUUCUUUAUCACUUUAGAAGCCAAAAGCAAAAGCAAUUAAAGUUAUACAUUUGGAAAUUCACCCAAAUUUCACUCUUUAUCCAAUGUGGGACUGGAAAGUAUCCAAUUAAUUAAGGCAAAAUUUUGAAUGGAUGGGGUGAGAUUUGGAAUAUUCGUAAGUUCCAAUUAAAGUUGUGCGGCUAAAUAGUAUACUGAUUGUCUUGGAUGAUAUUGCUUAUUGAUAAUGUGUUAGGUUUUCUAUUAAAAAAGAAAAAAAAAAAAGAAUUACAAGGCAAUGUUCAUUGUUGAGCAGACGAUGUACAUUCACUUACAAUUUAUACAGUUUUUUCGUGUAGGAUAUAACUUCAUUUUCACAAUUUGUAGAGAGUGAGUAUUAAAUUAAUCUCAAUUUCUGAAAUUCAAAUUGGAACAAUCAAACAUGAAAUUGUUUCAUUCGAACCUAAAACCUCAUGGUCACUUGAUUAAUAUCCUUAUCAGCUAAGUUAGAUCUUAGAAAUAUUGCAAGAUUUUUAUUUGAUUUUAAUAUUAAAUAAUUUGAAUAAUACUAUAGUAUAAAAAAAUAAUUAGCAACAACUAGUUGAAUUGUUUGGCUUUUAUCGAUUUUGACUGAUUUAACCAAUUCUUGACCGAAUUUUUUUAAAAAAUUUCAGUUUAAUAUAAAAUUGUUAUAAUGAUUGGUUCACAAUUCAAUCGGUCAAAUUAACUUAGUUGCGUGGUCUGAUUUUCAUAAUAGUGCUCUUAAUUAGAUGUUUAGUGCAAAGGUUCAUAUGCCAUAAAAAGGGUUCUUUUACCUAACACAUCUUGGUUCGGACACAUUUACGUUCAGCGUUCAAUCAUAUUGAUUAUUAGUUGGACUUAUCCACCUAAAUAGGAUAAUACUUAAAAAAAAAAGAAGUAAAUUUCUCAUUUAAAAUAGUAAGUUAACGUAAUAAAUUGGAAUAAAUAUGAAACUUACUUUUUAAAUAAAUAAAUUACUACUUUAUAUCUCAAACUUACUUUUUAGAGAGUAAGUGAUGCAAGAGGGACGGUUGACUAAGGCACUUCGAGUGGAGUCCAAGUUGAGCUAGAUGGUCCAAUGACUAGAGCUCCUGUCAAGAAGCUUAAGGAGUCAAUGCAAGCCCUAAUCUGUGCUAUACAUGAUAGAGUUGGCCAUACAAAUGUUAUUCAAGGGCUUGAGGAGGAAGAAACAACUCGUUAUACUCUCAUUCAAGUUGUCGAGUCAAGUGAGGCAAAAUUGGAAGAUUUGCUCGAAGAUUAAAACGUUCAAUUCUGGUUUAGUCCAUUAGCAUUUGAGUCGUUUAUCUUGGUGUUGUUUAAGCAAGGGUUUUAAUGUUAAAUUACCUUGCUAAAUUUAGUUGUUAAUUGCUUUAAUAAAUUCGGCCAAAAUUAGGGUUUUUAGUGGACCGACUUUUGUCAUUAAUUUUAGGAAAUAAGUGGUUCCAAAUUACAUGAGGUUUUCAAAUAAAUGAUUCCAAAUCAAAUUAGGUUUUCAAGUAAAUGAUUCCAAAUCACAUUAGGUUUUAAAGUCAUGUCAGGCUAUAAAUAGCCCAAUCUCUUAAACGUUUAGAGAGGUCAGAUUUUACAUUAAAAUUGUGAGUUUUAUUCACUUCUCUUGUUCAAAAGAGUUUUUCUUGAAUACUUGAGAGUUUCUUAAGUUAUUCAAUUUGAACUUAUCAAUCAAGUAUACACCUUGGUUGUGGCGUUCUUCUACCUUUAACAUUGGUUAACUAAAUCAUUCGAUUAUGGGUUGAGAUUCAAUUCAAGGUUCACAAUCUAGGGUUUAGAAGGGUCAAGUGUUAUUUCGCAAUUCAACUUGAUUUUCUUCGUCUAGAUCCGGGACUAUAUGGGAUACGAAUUCAUACCUUCGGGCGGGUUCGUAUCAGCUUGGUAAUCAGAGUUAGUUGACGAAUUCAAGUAUAUCUUGUUCAUGUCAAGUAAGUUUUUCUUGUGUCAAAUUUGGUCGUGUUAUCCUAGUAAAGUUGUUUAAGUUUUUCCUUGUUGUUCUUGCUGUUUCCAUCGUUAAUUGCUGUCUGCAUCCUCUAGUGUUGUUCGUGUGUUUCCUUGCUACCCGAAUAUCAAUUGUUGGUUGCAUCGUGUCUUGUGAUCUUGUUUCUUGAGUCAUGAAGUUGUUUAAAGUAAAAAAAAAAAAAAAAAAAAAAAAAAAAUCGGACUGUUCACAAUACUGUGCACCGGUACUGUUUAUUGGCAAUGUUCACGAUACUGUAGCGCACUAUUCACCGUUACUGGUCGUCCGAAAAAAAAAAUUUUGGUUAGUAGUUGUUCUUGUUGAAUCCGUAACUGGUUUCUUGAAGUUAAUUCGUGGCUGCUUUUGUGUUUUGGUGUCAAACCAUGGCUGAUCAAUCUUGUUUUUGAAAGUGCUUGAACUUUUGAAAUUUCUUGAUAAGAAUCUUGAAUUCUAGAAUUAUCUUGGAUACUUUCUUGACAAAUCUUGAAGUUCUUGGGUAAAAUAUUCAGGUUUCUUGAAUUCUUGAACAAAAGUUUUCAAAUCUUGAAAUUCUUGCAAAACCCUAAUUCCUAUUUCUUGAACAAAGUAGCGGCUAAUUCUUGUUUCUUGUUGUGGUUUGAAUUCUUGAGUGUUUGAUUCAAAAUUGAAAAGAAAAGAAAAAUAGUUUUUGUAAAAAAAAAAAAGGAACAAAAAGUCGGAUCACUCUUAGAUUCAAACAAGAAAGCAAAUCUGAUUUGGGAAACCAAGUUGACUUAGGAUUGUAAACAAAUCCUAGUCAUCACAUAACUAAUCCAAUUUAGAUUCUGCUAGCUGCUUAUACACAAAAAUUACUCCAAAAAUUAGCAGCUUAUCUUCCAAAAUAAAUCCAAGAACUAAUUGGAUUCAACUUCUAAAAUUUCAGCCAAGGGUACAAUCGGGUAGAGCAAUUCUAGGCUUCCAAAUUUCUGCUAUUUUGUUUCUUAUUUAAUCGAGUUUUGCAAUCUGUCCAGCCAUUAAAUUCGUGUCUUUUGAGUCUUUUUCAACCUAUAAAUUGUGUGUCUAAGAGGUCCCGAAAGGAGUCCACAUCAGUCUUGGAUUCCAACUAGUCUUAUUUUCCUAAUUCAAGUCGCUAGUUAAAGUCCAAAGUUUCCAAAAUUUGAGUCACCUUGUGCGGACAAAAUAUGGUAUUUUUUUCAGCAUGUUUAGUGUCUUGUUUUGAAUUAUUAUUCAGUCCAUUUCACUCUAAAUUUCCAGUUUAAAAUCCCUACCAUCUUGUGUGAAACUUGGUGAAAGUUUGAUUGAAUCUCAUUGAGAAAAUUCUGAUUUCUUCAAGAGAGGCAAUCAAGUGACUUGAGAAGUGUCUGGUGAGAUCAUUUGAGUGAAUUAUACACUUAAAUGAUACACGAGCACGAGUGAAACACAUUAGAGAGUGAGUGAGGCAUUUUCUAUUAACGUUUGUUGAGUUUUGCAGGAUUAAAAAAAACAUGGUUCACGAAAAUGAACUUACCAUUUCUCAAUUAGCAUUUAAAAUUGAUACUAUGUGAAAUGAAAUCCAAAGAAGAUUCGAUUGCAAGUUUGAGUCCAUUCAGGAGCAAAUUGAACAAAUGGAAUCAUCAAAGAACUUAUCUAAGAAAACUAGAGGAAAAAUCUCAUUGCAUGAACUCAGUGACUCCAAUUUGAAGAGGGAGUAUGAGGAAGAUGAACAAAGGCCGAGGAAACAUAAGCAUAGAGUUAAGCAUCAAGAUGACCAACUUAAAGGAAUAAAGCUGAAAAUUCCUACCUUCCAAGGUAAAUCGGACCCCGAAACAUACUUGGAGUGGGCAAGAAAGAUUGAACUUAUUUUGUGAUUGUAACCACUACAUGGAGUCUCAAAAGGUUAAGCUGGCAGCCAUAGAAUUCAUGGAUUAUGCAGCAAUUUGGUAGGAUCAACUUCGCAUCAAACAAAAAAAGAAUGAGGAGCCGACCAUCCGAACUUGGGAAGAGUUAAGAAGGGUUAUGAGAAAGCACUUCAUACCUGAUUACUACCAUAGGAAUUUGUACCAUAAAUUGCAAAUCCUCACUCAAGGUAGUAUGACAGUUGAAGGCUACUUCAAGAAGAUGGAAAUGGCAAUGAUGAGGGCUGAUGUUCAUGAAGAUUUAGAGGCAACCAAGGCUCGAUUUUUGAGGGGACUAAGGGCUGAAAUUGCAAAUGUUGUAGAGCUCCAACACUACCUUGACAUGGGUGAACUAUUGAACAAAGCUAUCAAGGUUGAAAAGAGGCUCAGGAGAAGGGGUAUAACUCGCCAAAACUUCAACUUCCAACCCAGAAAUUGGAGAAAUCCGACACUUGGAAGAGAGGUUAGCCCCUCAAAGGUAUUAAAUUCGGCAAAACUAAGUGGUGCAUUGAAGUCGAAUACCUCAUCCUCCAAACCAACGCAAAAAAGUGGUUUUAAGUCCAAUCAAGAUGCACCUAAACCAAGAAAUCGAGACACUAAGUGUUUUAAGUGUCAAGGUUUUGGUCACAUUACUUCUCAAUACCCAAAUCAAAUGACCAUGAGCAUGUUGCCAACUGGGGAAGUGCUAAUGGAUGAAGAGGAUGAGUAUGAGGAAAUGUCACCUUUGGUUGAGGAUCAAGGAGAGGAGAUCAAGUAGGAGCAGCCCACACUAGAUCGCGUUGGUCUAGUAGCUCGAUGUGCAUUAGCUACUCAAAUUAGUGUGGAUGAGUUACAACGCGAAAACAUAUUCUACACAUGCUGUCAUAUCAAAGACAAGGUUUGUAACUUAGUGGUUGACCCCGGGAGCUGCAUGAAUGUAGCAAGUGCACAUAUGGUGGAGAAAUUGAACUUGGCUACUACCAACUACCAUAAGCCCUAUAAGUUGCAAUGGUUCAACAAUAGCGGAGAGGUACGUGUACUUAAAUAAGUCCUAGUUUCUUUUCGCAUUGGUAGAUAUAUUGAUGAGGUUUUAUGUGAUGUUGUACUUAUGCAAGUUACUCAUAUUAUUUGAGGCUGUCCUUGACAAUUUGACAAGAAAAUUAGUUGGGAUGGUUACGCUAAUAAAUAUUCAUUCUUCUAUUGUAAUAAAAAGAUUGUACUUGUACCUCUUUAACAUAUCUAGUCUAUUGGGGAAUGGGGAGGUUUUCAAUUGGAUUCCAAUUGCUGACAUGGCGUACUGUCAUUGGCCAAUUGAUGGUCGUCUGCUCAUGUGAAUUCCCAUCAUUAAUUGAAGAGAUUGUCCUACUUGUGUGAAUUUGCAAAUUUCUUUCCUAGUGCAGUUACUCGUGUAAAUUAAUAACCCUCCAGCUUAACCACGUGCUCUCUGCUCUCUGCAGGGAACUUUUUUUUUUAUUUAACCACAGAUUUGAUUAUUUUUUAGGGGAAGAAACCCAUUACCCAUGUGGGUAGAUUGACAUACUGUCAGAACUCAGAGUUGGUGAGACUUGCGUUGGGUUCAAUGUUUCACAAAACCGUCCUUUCCCAUUUCUCUAUCUCUCACCCAUCCUCUACUUCUUUAUUCAGAAAGCCCUCAUCCUCUCUUCCUCUUCUUCAUAUUUUCUCCGAAACGGGUUCGAUAUUUUUACUUAAAGAGUUUGUUCUUUCCUCCCCUGCCUAAACUUCUCUAGCCUUUUUUUCCUUUUUGUUCUCCGAUUUAGUUGUCUUAACAUUGUGGCUUGUUGUGGUUUUUUUUUCUUUGUAGGAUAAUAGGGUUGCUCUAGAUCUUCUCUCUCUACUUGAUCAUCUUUAGCUCCAGAAGCAAGGAAAUUUGCAGAAUCUAUCUCCAAACUAUCAGGUUCUUUGUUGCCUCUUAAUCUUUAUUUCCUUUCUAUAUUUAUUGGUUUUAUUCCCCAAAAAUUUUCACCUGGUUAAUAUCUAAAUUUUGCCUAUAUUUUUCCUUAUUUAUUUAUCCAUGCUUUCUCCCAAGAUAGAUGCAGCCAAGAGAAGAUCAUCACCGAGAAACAUUGCUUGCAAUUUUGCUUCCUUGGGGUUCGUCCUUCUUCAUCUUAGGUUUUCUCUAUUUUAUUUUUUCAUUUUUUUAACUUUUGUACUCUUUUUUAAGUAUUUUCUAUGUUACUUAUUUCUUUCUUUUGGGUCUCUAGAGCCCCCUAUACAAACUUGUAUGAUAUUUAUUAUAGAUGGAAAAAUUACUUGGUAGAGAAACUGAAGGACAAUGUUGUCGAGAACCUUUGAAAAAUGGAGUUUUCGUGGCUCAUCUGAUGGCUUUUUUUUUUUUUGGUUUGUUAUGUGCAAGGGUGCGUUCAAUUAUUGACUCACAAAAGACAAUCCAUAUGGUAACCAACCCAAAGUCUCCAUUUGUGGAGAUCAAAUUUCAUGUCAAUGAUUGUUGAAAACUUUAGUUAUUUUUUCGUGUCUUUAUUUUUGAUAAAACUAUUUUUCUUUUUUUUUCCUUUGUGAAGUUUUGGUUCUCAUUUCCGGAGAGUGUAUAUGGAUUCUUUAAAACAAAAGAAAAAAAAUACUCUUGUGUUUUCUUAGUUGCUGAUAAAAGCACUAAAACUGAUCAAUGAGCCAUUAGUUGAGAUACUCGUUUUAAGUACAUGUUCCCUAUAUAUUUGUAUAUGCAUGAAUCUUGCCGGCCUUUCUUCUUUUAAAUGAGUACCUUUUAUUUUAGGUUUACAAGAAUACCUUUUUUGGUUAAAUUUUUGUUUAUUUUUUUCCUAGAAGAUUGGUUUGAAUUCAUCUACUAGGGAUAACAUUUUGAGAAUAUAAAGUGAAUAUAGAGUAAAUAUGGCAGAUUGAGUAUUAGCCUGUUAUUGUAGAGAAAUUUCUUACCAUCUACUGCCAUUUAAGUGGUUUACUACAUGUUUCUUGCUUAUUUAGACUUUACCUUUCGUGAAAAUGAUUUCAAUGUUUAUGGGCAAUUAAAAGUUUGGUGUGGUAAUAUGUUGGUCUUUCCAAUUUCUUUAUAUUUCUUGAAAAGGUAAAGAGAAUUUUUUGUAGCUAAAAUAACAAAAAAGAUGUUAGGAUUACUUUGCAUUUAGAUCCUUUUUCUUAAGUCAUCUUCUUUUUAUUUUACUUUUGGUUAUGUUAUUAAUUUUUUUUAUUCUUUUAUGUUAUUAAUUUACUUUGUUCAUGUUAAAGGUGCAAAUGAUUGAAGAUGCAGUCACUCUGAAACCAGUUCAUGGAAUAACAAACUUUGUAAGUUAAAAAUGUAGUCCUUUUUUUUUAUCUUGCUUUUGUGUUGAGCAUGGUCACUAUUAGAUGGUUUAUUCUUAAUUUCAUCCUUUCAGUCCUUCACUAUUUGCACACCAUUAAUUCACUAUAUUGGAAUCAUAAAUACUACUUUGUUUAGUAUAAAAGGUUUUUUCGGUCUCUUAUUUUAUUUAAUUAUCUUUUAUUACAACAAGAAACGUGAAGAAUUAUUCAAAUUUUACUGAGGAAAAAAUUGUUUAAGUGGGCAAUUUUUUGUAGGCUUUACUCGUCAUAUAUAUACUAAUCUGCUCUAUGAUUUUCUGCUCAGAUUUUUGUCAAGCGAGGGAAGAAAGAAAAAAUGGUGGUCAAUUCUUACUUUUAAGCAUUAUGGAGUUAUACAACUACGCGAAACUUAAAUACUUACUAAAUUUGUUGUUGACCAUUAUGCUGUUAUUGUAAGAAAACUUUUAAGAAUGAUUGCCAUUCAGGAGGUUUACUCUAUAUUUCUUGCUCAUUUAGACUGUCUGUAUUGUUUGUGUAAGAUAGCAUAUAAGCUUUUAUUUCAGGAUAUUUUUGUUGCCAAGUUUGGAUGCGUCUGACAUACACAUUGUCAUGCCUUAGGUAGUGGACAUUUGUCGUAUGCAUCGAAUAACCAUUGCCAAGUUUGCUUAUUUUGUAAAUUAUAACGAUUUGUUUACAUAUUUAAAUUUGUGAAAUUUACUUUACGGGUUCUAUUCCUCAUCUCACCAUUAAAUGGUUAAAUGGAAACUUUUGAGAGUACAAAUAGAGCUUCAUGAAAACAAGAAACUAGAUUCGUGCAUAAUUUUGGUGAAAAUGGAACAGUUUGGUUUGAAGGCAAGAUUAAGCAAUCUUUGAUUUUUCUUUGUAUUAGCUUCUCACAAUUGCAACAAAUUUCUAAUGGCCUUGCUUUAAUUAUGUUCAAGUUCCCAUUUUAAACAGCAAGAGAAAUGGGACAAAAAAAAAGAAGGCCAUGAAAAGAAGCAGGGAAGGGAAAAUGGAUCUUCAUCAGAAUAUGUAUGUUUUUUUCACUUUUUUUUUUUUGUGAAAUUUAAGUUGGUUCUAUAAGUAUUUUUUUUUUGUUUAAUUUUCCUCUGAUUAGAAGGAGAAAAUGAGAAGAAAAAUAAGCAGAUGAAGAGAAAAGUAUGGAUCUUCAGCCUAAUCAGGUCUAUAAGUUCCUUUAAUUUAAGCACUUUUUGUAAGGUUUUAUUUUAGUUCAAAAUACAUUUUUAUCUGAGUUUUUGAAAUGAAAAUGAGGUGAAGCAGAUGAAAGGAAAGAACAGAUCUUUGGUUUGAUUGAAUGCUGUAAGUUUUUUCUAUUACUUUUUCUUUGUAACUUGAGCCAUUUUUUGAGCUUCUUUCUUGUGUGCCUUUUUUUUAUUUCUGACUUUCUAUUAUUGAAUCUGAAGCAAAAAAGAAAGAAGAAAUAAUAAAAUUUCAGAGUCCUAAGCGAUUUUUUUUUUUUGAAAAAAAAAUUUGUGUGAAUUGCAUCUAUGGUUGUAGAAUUUGUUAUUAGAAUGAUUGAAAAAUUGGAUUUUGAUCGACUCAUUGUAGAUGGUAAGAGGUUGAAAGUAAUUGAUCAGAUAAUGCUUAGGAUCACAUCAGAUUGUUUUUGCUUUGAGUUUUCAUUUUUUGUUGGUUUAUUCAUUGUGCAAUUAUUUAUUAUACUGACAAUAAGAUUUGAUUUUGAUAAGACUGUGUGAGGAUUCUAAUAGCUUUCAAAUGAUAAGGUAGAUAGUAGAAUCAUUUAUACUUUUUGGUUUGGGGUUUCAUUUCAAUUUGUGGGAAUUAGGUACCAGAAGAGCUAUAUUUUGGGUUAUCAUUGGAUUUGCUAAAAUUAGCGUUUGUGGUGUACAUUUAAAGCUUAAAGUAAUGCAAUUCAAAGCUUAAAGUAAUAAUCAAAAGUAUAGUGCCACAAAAAUUCAAGGCAUUAGUUAGACGAUUUUAGAAUCAAAACAAGGAGGAAUAAAGAGCAUCAUAGGUUAAGCUUACUAUUGCUUUAGGUAGAAUAAUUUCAAAUGUAUUGCACUUUGAAUAUGUCUAAAGAUCUAAGUUUUAUUUGAUUGAACUGUUUCACUGACGAUGCAUUAUCCUGCUAGGUUUAAUUAUUCUCGCUAGUUUUGGUUAAGAUUGUCUUUGUUGCUUUUUCGAUUCCUGAGAUAUGUUUCCUUUUUUUUGUUUAGAAACAUUAAAAGUACCUCUCGUGCACUUGAAGUGUGAAGAUGCUCAUGGAUUAUUUACAUUAAUAUCAUCAAGAAAUUUUGUCAGAUUUCGUUGCUUUUGGUUUCUCCUGAAGUACUGUCUUGUCCUUUUACUUAUUUAUUUGCUUAUUUUGACUUUCGGACUAUUAUUAUAGAUUGGUAUAAAUUGCUUUGUUUGUUUUUUUCCAAAAUUUGAUGCUUCUGAUCAGAAUUAAGUGUUCCAUAGAAAUUCAAAUCCUCUGAUAUUUUCUUUAGGAUUUUUUUGUUCAAAUGUUUGGUAAUCUGGUUUAUGACAUUGCUUCUUGUCUAUAGCUUUUAACUUUGGAGUUUCGUCUAUAGAGUGAGUUUCUAAACCCAUCGUUCACUGCUUGAUAGGUAUUUGCAUUCAUGGGAAUGAGAGGAGAGUCAGAAUAAAGCUGGAGCUCUCUGAUGCUAUUAGUCAUUGAAAGUCUAGAAUCAUUUUGCUUGUGGCCAAUUAGAAAUACUUUUUUCUUUUCUUUGUCAAUUUUUUCAAUUGGCAUUGAUAUACGUUUAGUCUUACUAAGUAGAUUUUCUCUUUAUACUGCAUGUAUAUGCAUUUUAUUAUUCGCUUGAACAUAUUGUAAAAGAAACUUAUUGCUGUUAAAUAUCCUUUUCUAGGAACUAACAACUUGAUUUGUGGUUUUUAUCAACAAAAAACAAACUUAUCGCUAUUAAAUGCCUUUUUUAGGAACUAACAACUCGCUUUGUAUAUUUCUUCAAGCUAUAUUUUUUCCCCUCCUCCUCCAUUACAUGUGUCUUUUUUUAUUUCUAUUUUCAUUCUAUGCAAAAACAAGGAGCAUCUUAAUUAUCUUAGUAGUCUCUCAUUGUAUUGUCUUGCAUUUCUUUAACAAAUUAUUCAUAUUCACUGCUUAAUAAAACUAAAAAAAUAGAACGGCAAAGUUUUUGGUAUACCUUUGUGUAACUUUUCAUACUUAAUAUUUCAAUUUGAAUCAUUGGGCAUUUCUAGGCAACCUUGAAAAUUACACCGCACAUCGCGCGGUGUUCUCCUCCUAGUACAUCUUAACAAGUGCAUAAGGAUCAAGCUAUUCUUCAAAGGGAGUUUGAAAUAGAGCUUGACAGAAAGAAAAGACAAGAAAGUGAGGGCAAAAUUCGAGAGAAAAUGAAUGACGAAAAUGGUGAGUUGAGCCGAGGCAAAAUUGAGGGGAAAAGGCUGAAGUAAGCUCGGCUAGAUAGGUAGAGGUAAAAAAACAGAGAAAACAAGUGUUAAUAGUAAAAGCCAAAGAUGUGAGAAAAACCUUGUUUUUUGAUCAAAUCCUUCUAAUUUUUAUUUGUAAAGAAGUACCUAUGACUGACACACUUAAUGUUUCUUUGCCUAGUUCUAUCGCUAACCUUUUGCAGAAAUAUUAAGAUGCCUUUCUUGAGGACAUACCUUGUGGUUUACCUCCAUUAAGAGGAAUUAAGUAUCAAAUUGAUCUCAUUUCUGGCGUAACCUUGCCUAAUAAACCACCAUAUAGAAGCAAUCCUGAGGAGACUAAGGAGAUGAAGCGCCAAGUAGGUGAACUUUUGGACAAAAGAUAGAUACGUGAAAACUUGAGUCCAUGUGCCAUUCCGGUUCUACUUGUGCCAAAGAAGGAUGGAACUUAGAGGAUGUGCACCGAUUGUUGCGCCAUAAAUGCUAUAAUGGUAAAAUAUCACCAUCCUAUUCUUUGAUUAGAUGACAUGCUAUAUGAGUUAGAUGGAACUGUAAUUUUUACUAAAAUUGAUCUAAAAAGUAGUUGUCAUCAAAUACGAAUGAAAGAACGGGAUGAAUGGAAGAUUGCCUUCAAAACUAAGUAUGGUUUAUACGAAUGGUUGGUUAUGCCAUUUCGGUUAACUAAUGCACCUAGCAUCUUUAUGAGAUUAAUGAACCAUAUCUUACGUGUAUUCUUAGACAAGUUUGUGGUCGCUUACUUUGAUGACAUUCUUAUUUAUAAUAAAAGUUUAGAAAAGCAUGCCAUGCAUGUAAAGGAUUGUUUUAGAGGUUUUUCGAAAGGAACGAUUGUAUGUCAAUCUUAAAAAAUGUACUUUUUGCACUAAUCAAAUUGUGUUCCUAUGAUAUGUUGUGAGUAUGCAAGGCAUACAUGUUGAUCAAGACAAGGUGACAUCGAUAGUAGAGUGGCCGACCCCUAUGUCUCUUAGUGAAGUAAGAAGUUUUCACUGGUUGGCUAGCUUUUAUCAUCGUUUUGUCAAAGAUUUUAGUACAAUUGUAGCCCCACUUACUUCUAUCAUCAAGAAGAACUAAGCCUUUCAUUGGGGAGAUGAAUAAGUUAAAUCUUUCCAAUUACUCAAGCACAAACUCACACAUGCACCUGUAUUGAGAUUGCCUAACUAUAAUCAAACAUUUGAAAUUAAGUGUGAUGCAUCUGGCAUAGGCGUUGGGGCCGUGUUACUACAAGAAGGAAAAUCGAUUGCAUAUUUUAGUGAAAAACUAAAUGGAGUAUCUUUGAACUACUCGACAUAUGACAAAGAGCUGUACGCUUUAGUUAGAACUUUGCAAACAUGGCAGCACUAUUUAAUGCCUAAGAGUUUGUUUUACAUAUGGAUCACGAGUUGCUUAAGCACCUUAAGACUCAAAAUAAAUUGAGCAAGCGACAUGCAUGAUAGGUAGCCUUCAUUGAUAGCUUUCCAUUCGUGAUCAAGUAUAAGGCCGGAAAAAAGUAACGUGGCAACAGAUGCAUUGUCUAGAAGGUACACUCUUAUUACCACUCUUGAUGCCAAAUGGAUUUGAGUUGAUUAAGGAUACUUACAUUAACGACCCUGACUUUGGAGUUAUUUUUGCUGACCUUCCACGGCUUGAUCGUGAGAAUUACUACAUUUCACAAGGGUACUUGAUCUUCAAAGAUAAGUUGUGCAUACCAUCUUAUUCUAUGCAUGAGCUACUUGUUAGGAAAGUGCAUGGAGGAGGUCUUAUGGGGUAUUUUGGAGUUGCUAAGAUAUUAUCUAUCCUCCAAGAGCACUUUUAUUGGUCAAAGAUGAGGCGUGAUGUAGAACGCAUUACUCAACGGUGUGUAACUUGCCACCAUGUCAAAUCUAAGGUAAACUCCUAUGGACUUACACUCUAUUACCUAUUCCUAGUAUUCCAUGGGUUGAUUUAUCUAUGGACUUUAUACUUGCAUUACCUAGAACUAGGUAUGGACAUAAUUCUAUUUAUGUGAUUGUUGACCAUUUUUUUAAGAUGACAUAUUUCAUUUCAUGUCAUAAAAAUGAUGAUGCUAAACAUGUAGCUGAUUUGGUCUUUAGGAAAAUUGUUAGAUUGGAUGGAAUGCCACGCACUAUUGUUAGUGAUAGGGAUGCCAAGUUCCUUAGUUAUAUUUGAAAAUCUUUAUGGAGUAAACUAGGAACUAAACUCUUGUUCUCUACUUCUAGCCACCCUCAAACUGAUGGUCAAAUUGAAGUAGUUACGUGCUAUCAUAAAAAAGAAUUUUAAAUCAUGGGAAGAUUGUUUGUCACAUGUUAAAUUUGCUUAUAACCGCACAGUCAAUAGCACCAUACAAUACUCACCUCUGAAGUUGUUUAUAGUUUUAACCUUCUCACACCUCUAGACUUAUCUCCUUUACCUAUGUCUGAGAGAGUUAAUAUGGAUGGUUUGAAACGAGCUGAACAAGUGCGUGCCUUGCAUCAAAAGGUAAGGGAUAACAUUGAGAAAAUGACAUUUCAAUUUAUUCGCAAUGCUAACAAGAGGCGUCGCAAAAUGAUUUUUGAACCAGAUGAUUGGGUGUGGAUUCACAUACGCAGAAAAAGGUUCCCAGUACAACGACGUAAUAAACUCUUGCCUAGAGGUGAUGGACCUUUCCAAGUGGUGGAACGCAUCAACGAUAAUGCUUAAAAGUUGGAUCUACCAUGUGAGUAUGGUGUACACGCUACUUUCAAUGUAGUUGACUUAAGUCCUUACCAUGCAGACGAUGAGUUUGAUUUGAAAAUAAAUUGCCUUCAAGAGGAGGGAAAUGAUGCAAGAGCGACGGUUGACCAAGGCACUUCGAGUGGAGUCCAAGCUGAGCUAGAUGGUCUAAUGACUAGAGCUCCUGUCAAGAAACUUAAGGGGUCAAUGCAAACACUAGUCUAUGUUAUACAUGAUAGAGUUGGCCAUACAAAUGUUAUUCAAGGGCUUGAGGAGGAAGAACUAACUCGUUAUACUUUCAUUCAAGUCGUCGAGUCAAGUGAGGCAAAGUUGGAAGAUUCGCUCGAAGAUUAAAACGUUCAAUUCUGGUUUAGUCCAUUAGCAUUUGAGUCAUUUAUCUUGGUGUUGUUUAAGCAAGGGUUUUAAUGUUAAAUUACCUUACUAAAUUUAGUCUAAAUUAGGGUUUUUAGUGGGCCGACUGACUUUUGUCAUUAAUUUUAGGAAAUAAGUGGUUUUAAAUCAUAUGAGAUUUUCAAAUAAGUGAUUCCAAAUCACAUUAGAUUUUCAAGUCAUGUAAGGUUAUAAAUAGCCAACCUCUUAAAUGUUUAGAGAGGUCAGAUUUUACAUUAAAAUUGUGAGUUUUAUUCACUUCUCUUGUCUAAGAAAGUUUUUCUUGAAUACUUGAGAGUUUCUUAAGUUAUUCAAUUUGAACUUAUCAAUCAAAUAUAUAUCUUGGUUAUGACAUUUUUCUACCUUUAACAUUGGUUCACUAAAUCAUUCGAUUGUGGGUUGAAAUUCAAUUCAAGGCUCGGAAUCUAUGGUUUAGAAGGGUCAAGUGUUAUUCCGCAAUUCAACUUGAUUUUUUUCGUCUAGAUCCGGGACUACGUGGGAUAUGAGUUCAUACCUUUGGACGAGUUCGUAUCAGUGAGUUUAGUCUAAGUAAUAAUAAGUUUUCAUACAUAAAUAGUAAUUCUUACUAAUAACAUGGUAAAUUUGAUUAAUGAUGAAAACUUACUAAUUUAUGAUAAAAAUGUGCUAUUUUACUUUAAAAAUUUAUCUCAAACUAGUAUUAAGAAGUUUAUUUGAAAUAAUGAUAAGAUGUUUUAUUAAUGAUUAAAACUUAGUACCCUAGUUAGUAAGUACUCAUAAUAUACCUGUAUAAUACAUGAUUAUAUGUAUAAAUUAAAAAUUUUUUGUAUUUAUAUAUUUCAAAAUACUAUGAAAAAUAUUUUGACUUUUCACAUAACCUUGUAAAAUAUGUAAUAAAAUUUUGUGGUAUUAUAAUUUUUAAUUAUUUUUCAAUUUUUAAGAAGUUUGAAAGUUUGGAUAACAAUAACAACAAAUCUUCGUAGUUAUAUAGAAUAUCUCUCAUACAUAUAUCAUGGAUAUUUGAGACUUUUGGCAAAAAAAAAUUUUUUUGUUAAAAUAAUAUGGUAUUAUAAGGUGCUAAUUAUUUUAGGAUCAUUUUGUACAUGAACUAAAUUUCAUUUAGAUUAUACAAUAAAUUAUAUGUGCAUGUGAUUUUCGUUUAGUGGCUGGAUCUUAUUUUCGUGAACAAUCUCCCGAGAAAAAAAUUUCAAAUUAUACUAAUUCUGUCAGUUUUAUUGUUGUAAUAAUUGUUACACUAUUUCUCUUAUUUUGUUAGGUCUAUAUUAAUACAAGUUUAAUUCUUAUUAAUUCUUGUAUCCCAGACAAUUCAUUUAUUAAAACUUUAUCAUCUUAUUAUAUUAAUAGGUUUUAAGUUAUAGAAACUAUAUAGACAAGUGAUGUUCCAUAUAUAACUAGGAAGAUGUGUUGUUAUUAUUAUCCAAACUUUUAAACUUUUCAAAAAUUUAAAAAAUCAUUCAAAAUUAUAAUACGACAAAAUUUUAUUACAUAUUUUAUAAGGUUAUGUGAAAAGUCAAAAUAUUUUUCAUAGUAUUCUAAAAUGUAUAAAUACAAAAGAUUUUUAAAUUAUACAUGGAAUCAUAUAUUAUACAGGUAUAUUAAGAAUACUUACUAACUAGAUUACUAAGUUUCAAUCAUUAAUAAAAAAUCUUAUCAUUAUUUCAAAAAUUUCCUAAUACUGUUUGGUAUAAGUUUUUAAAGUAAAAUAGUACAUUUGUACCAUAAAUUAGUAAGUCUGAUCAUUGAUCAAACUUACUAUGUUAUAAGGAAGAUCUAUUAUUUAUGUAUAAAAAUAUACUAUUAUUUAAACUAAACUUACUCUCUAAGAAGUAAAUUUGGGAUAUAAAGUUAUAAUUUAUUUCUUUAAAAAGUAAGUUUAUAUUUAUUCCAAUUUAUCUUUUGAGACACAAAAGUUACUAAUUUAUUAUGUGAACUUACUAUUUUAGGUGAGAAAUUUAGUUCUAAUAAGUAAUCAAAUAGUCAUUAAAAGUAUGAUAAUAUGUUAUAUCACGUAAAAACUAUUUAGUUACCGUAACGAUAGUUACUAUAGCAUUUUCCAAAAAUCAUUACUAAAGUUGCUUAUCAAGAGCAGAAAGCAAGCCCAAUAUUGCUUGAAAGAGACAAGUGCUGGAAAACUCGUCCACCGCCAAUGGGCUGUUGUUGCUUUAGGCCGGAGGAUCAAUCUUUACGCUGAUGAUAAAAAAGCAAAAAAAAAAAAAGGCCCAAAAAAUCAGUCGGCUAUUCCCUCAAACUCAAAGAGAGCUCGUGAGAAAUUUCGGGAAAGAAAAAGCCUUUAAAGAAAAAACAAAACAAAAAAAGAAAUGCCAGCAGCAUCAUCUCCUUCAUCUCUGGCGUGUUAUUAUUCAUUCUCCUCAGUAAUAGCGUGCGGUUGCCGCUAUCGUGCGCCUUUAAAGCACUCGUUCUUAGCCUUCACUCGUCGCUUCCACUCCCUCCACCCUCACCACCGCUACUGUCGCCGUCUUCCGCCUCAUUCUCUGGCAAUUCUCGCCGCGAACACCACGGCGUAUUCUUCUCGCUCCCGCCGUCUCCCUAAAACGCAUUUCUUCACGGGGAACUCUCUUUUCUCCCGCAUGGAGGUACCUCCCUCCGUCUCUCUCUCUCUCUCUCUCUCUCUCUCACGAAAACCUAGCCUGUUCAGUUGACUAUAGAAAUGUUUAAUCGUUUUUGAGCUUGUUGAUCAAGUAAAUUGUCGAGUUAUCAGCUUUCUAAUAAUAAAUUACGUAUAUUUGAGUUGAAGUCGUAUGAAUUCGAAGAAAAUGAUCAAGUGUUUUCCGUAUUUUGGAUAAUUAUUGUAAGUUUCAGGUUCGCUAAUUUAUAAUUAUAAUUUCUUAAAAAUGAAUUGUCAAGUACUGUUAUAGAGGUAAUUAAUUCUGGACUUUAGUGUCAAGGUGAUUUUUGAGAAAAAUGAGAAUUUUGAUUUGGAUGAGUGUGUGUGACUUGGGUGGGCGGAAUAUGAAAAAAGAGCCCAUUUUGGGUGCAUUAGGAGAACGGGGCUCUUGAAUCUUGUUGAAAAAGAUGGAUAUGAUAUUGGAACAAGUGGAAGCCACAUUUGUUUACCACUCAUUUUGCGUGCCGGAUGGACUAGGCUUUGAGUGCUAGCUACUUUCUUGUGUAAGAAGAAGUUAAAAUGAGCUGUACAAGUCUUCAGGUCCUUCUGUCUUUACACUUUGCGUUUUUCUUGCUUAGCUUUGGUUUAUAAAGGCUGAUAUAUGGGUAGUGUUGGAGGAGAGCUUCGAAAUUUUGACUGGGGUUGUCUGUAUGAGAGUGAUAUCUUCUAGCAGUUGGUAUGGUUUUUGGACACGUAAGCUUGGUCAAAGGUAUAUUUGAAACUUCUAGCAUUAGAAGGAGCUAAUAUUUGUCUCAGUUUUGUUUGUAACCAUCCUUGUUUUUAUGGUAACAGGUUGAGAGAUGCACAUAUGUCUUAGCUUUGACAUCAAUCUUAUUUGUGUUUGUCUACAGCGAUUCUGGACAGGAGGUGGUAUUGAUAAGAAUAGAGCAAUGGUGGAGCAUUUGCAGAGCUAUGGUGUUGUUAGAUCUAAAAAGGUGGCUGAGGUUAUGGGAACUAUUGACAGGGCUUUGUUCGUUCCUGAUGGGACCCCGCCAUAUGUUGAUACCCCCAUGCAAAUUGGUUACAAUGCUACCAUAUCUGCGCCUCAUAUGCAUGCCAUGUGCCUUGAGUUGCUGGAAAACCAUUUGCAGCCUGGCAUGCAUGCUCUGGAUAUUGGCUCAGGUUACUAUAGUUUCACUUGUUCAUUCAUUGUAUUGUUGGAUUUUGAAAUGUAUUCGUGUCUGCAUGUUUAAGCACUUGUGGAAAUGCAUACACAAAGCAGAGAUAACUAAGUACAUAUCGGAAUAAGACACUAGCAGAAUAUGUGGUAUUACUUCUAUUUAGCUGAUUAUGCUCAUUACUAUGAUUUCAUUUGAGGUGGCUAAUAAGAAUAAUAGUUCAAAACACUAUUUGGACCACCAGCCCUAUCGCUGGGUGAAUGACCAGGAAGAAAUCAAAAACAAAAACUUAUAUGUUACUCCUUCAGUGUAUAAGUUGAGGAAAUGUUGCCCUAGUUAUCCAUCUGCAUUUUGACUUAAUAUUGAACAAAGGUAAACUCGCUCAGUUUAGGGUAAGACUACUGCAUUUUGUUGAUGAUGGUGGAACUUAUGCAGCAAUGUUCCUUAUUGCCAUUUGUGCUGAAGAUAACUAGUUGUUGGUUAGCUGCCUGUGAACUGAAUUGCUUAUAUGUCUUGAGGCUCGCUUUCUUUUUUCCCUGUCCCAAAUUGGAUUACGCUUACAUCUGCUAGUUCUUGUUUUGCAGGAACGGGUUAUUUGACUGCAUGUUUUGCUAUUAUGGUUGGACCACAAGGUCAUGCAGUUGGUGUGGAACAUAUUCCUGAGUUGGCUGCUGAAUCAAUCAAAAAUAUACAAAAGAGUGCUGCUGCUCCACUACUGAAAGAAGGGUCCUUGGCUAUACAUGCAGGGGGUACGUUCUAAUAUAUCCUAGCAGUGAUCAUCUAUUAUCUUUUUGAACUAAUGUCACUUGUAGAUUGGAAAUGCAUUUGCUGUUGAACUCAUCAAGUUUUUCAGAUUUAUCAUUUUUCUUGGUUCUUUUCCUAAGACAUUGUCACAUGUCUUUGGUUAGUUGAACUUAUCCUUGGCAUCAUUGUCACUUCUAAAAUACUAUUCUGCAAAAGCAACAGAUACCAAUCUUGGAUGGGCAUACAUAGUUUUUCUCUGUUUAAAAGACCUUAAAUUGUCUCACUUCCUGUUGUAUUUUUCCAUAUAGGUCUGAUGGGUCAACUGUAGUAGAUUAGCUCCCAUUCUGUUGUUGUGGUGAGGUGGACUAUAGGUUUAGCCUGAUGGUAAUAAAUAGAUAUUUUGGAAAAUUUUAUGACUCUGAGUCUUAGUAAAGUAAUAGGUCUGAUAAUGAGUUGGUUUGGACAAAAUUUUGUAGUCUGCUGAUGUUAAUCAUUAGGUGAGCUAGCUUGCAGCAUUCUUAGCAGCACGUGACAAGCUUUUGUGAUGGUUAAGGAAGUCAUAUGACCUAAGUACUGCCAAAUGGUUUCUUAAGUAGUCUUGCAGAAAUGGCAAGGUUCUGAAUUAAUGAACGGAAAACUGAUGUUGCAGACAAGUUUUUGCUGCUUAUAGGUUUCCUUUGCAUAAGAACUAGGCAAUCUCUUUCAGGCAUUUGUAGGUUGUACUAGGCUCUCUUCUGUAACUUUUUCUCUUGCUGGAUUAGGAUUAACUUCUUGGUUCCAUGUAUUGGUCUUGCAAUGUCAUAGAUGGACGGCUUGGCUGGCCGGAGCAUGCACCGUAUGAUGCUAUUCAUGUUGGUGCUGCAGCACCAGAAAUUCCUCAAGCUCUGAUCGAUCAGUUGAAGCCCGGUGGCAGGAUGGUGAUCCCUGUCGGAAAUAUCUUCCAGGAUUUGAAGGUCGUGGACAAGGAUAUGGAUGGUUCAAUCAGUGUCCACAGUGAAACUUCUGUUCGUUAUGUUCCACUAACGAGUCGAGAAGCUCAAUUGCGUGGUUAUUAAAGGUGGUGCCAUCAUAUGUAACUUCUUGUUUACUUGUUGAAGGGAGAGAAGAAAAGGAAAAGUCUGGAGGAAACUGAGACAGGGAGCAUAGGGAAGAAGCCUUCUUUUUUCCAGAUCUUCACUUCUAGUUCUGUAUAGGUAGCCAUGUAUAGGUUGAUGCCGUGGAUAUUGAAUGUUUUUAUUUUUCUUAUUCAAUGGAAUAAUGUUUACAAAAUGGACUCGUGCUUCGCUUUUCUUCUCAUGUUGUUACUGUUGGCUUUUUGAUGUUCAUCGUUCUGUUUGAAGCUCGUUAUUUGAUUGAUAGACGAUGAACUGGGCCAGUUAGAAAUUCGAAACCACAUUUUUGUUGGUUUUCUCUGGGGCUGAAUAAUGUCUUCUGAGUCCUUACCCUUUUAUGCUGUAGACUAAAACUACUUGCGUAUGAUCAAAACCUAACGCUUUUCCCCCAGAGAUUGCACUUGAAUUCAAUGUGUACUGAUUCAAGAUAAGAAUGUAAUCCUUCAUUGGUUAUGCGUAAUUGCAACUGUAACAUAAUUGCAAUGAUGAUAACCUAUUACUUUAAGCCAUUUCUGACAGAAAAUGCAAAUGUAACAACCUAAAGAGGUGCAGCAGAGUAGGCUUCAUGAUAAAUUUUUGUGCACUUAAUACGGAAUCGAGGGAGAAGAAAAAUUAAGAGAACCAGUGAUGCACUUAUCUCCAUUCAUAUAGCAGGGAAUCAACACAUACACUGCAUGAGAACGCAGGCAUUAUGUUGUCUAUCAAUUUGAAGACACACAAUAUAAUAUACAUUAGAAAAAAUGUUGAUUCUGAUGAGUCCAACGUGAUCUUUUAGAAAUUUGUGGUGUAAAUCCUUCCUGCCCCAACUGUCAAAUAUAGGAUUCAAACCCUCAACGUGACAGCGAGAAGAAGGGUCUUUCUUCUCCUUUUCUUUAUGCAAAGACUAAUUCUCAAUUAAAGAGACUAAUUGAACAAGAAGACCAAUAGGUAUAACAAGAAAAGAUGAUGAAGAAAGCAGAGCUGCAGACUUUUGAUCUCACAAAUCCACAAAUACCUGUGGAAGUCCAGGACAGAGAAAAACACAUUUUGCCUCUUUCUAACAUCUAAAUAAAUAGACUUGAGCAGUUUUCCACAUCCUACCAAGAUUAAUACAUAAAGCCAAAAAAAGAAAAAAGAAAAAAGAAAAAAGCAAUAACCUCCAUGAUACCAGGAGAUGAAGUUUAAUUACUCAACAAUGUUAAGAGGCUAGUGUAAACUGCACUCGGUUCUCUCAUCAGAAGCUGACAAAAAAUGUAACUACCACUCGUUUCAACUAAUGAAAGCAUAAACUACAGAGACUUUAUAUCUAUCUAGUGCCUUGAGAAUCUCACAAAUCAGCCAACAGAUUAGAAACGCCUUGGUCUUU
RNAcentral lists this long non-coding RNA (21594 nucleotides) under Coffea arabica (coffee). RNAcentral describes it as "long non-coding RNA (CARA_LNC002801)". Lineage: Eukaryota; Viridiplantae; Streptophyta; Magnoliopsida; Gentianales; Rubiaceae. The record is from RNAcentral.